CAGAUUGAACGCUGGCGGCAGGCUUAACACAUGCAAGUCGAACGAUGAUUAUCUAGCUUGCUAGAGAUGAUUAGUGGCGGACGGGUGAGUAACAUUUAGGAAUCUACCUAGUAGUGGGGGAUAGCUCGGGGAAACUCGAAUUAAUACCGCAUACGACCUACGGGUGAAAGGGGGCGCAAGCUCUUGCUAUUAGAUGAGCCUAAAUCAGAUUAGCUAGUUGGUGGGGUAAAGGCCCACCAAGGCGACGAUCUGUAACUGGUCUGAGAGGAUGAUCAGUCACACCGGAACUGAGACACGGUCCGGAC
Molecule: ribosomal RNA, 305 nt
Filed under: bacterium endosmybiont of Otiorhynchus armadillo
Lineage: Bacteria
Description: bacterial SSU rRNA
Rfam family: Bacterial small subunit ribosomal RNA
Source: RNAcentral